CCCUCAAAUAUGAAAAAAUGAGAAACAUCCUUAUGUUUCUAAGUGGGGUUGAGAUCCCUAUUCCUCAUAAACACUUUGUGGAUAGCACAACAAGAAUUCAUGAGUUUAAGAGUAGGUAACUCUUUACCAAUUGUACUUCAUACAAUUCUCAAUAUUUUUCUCUCUUACUUCUAGAUCACUCAUAGUCUUGUGGAUAGCACAACAAACUAUAAUGUUCUAGUUAAGUUUACCCUUCAAUCUCAUAUGGUGAUACUUAAACAAUGUCGCUCUUGUGGAUAGCACAACAAGACAACACUAUUUAAAUAAGCCAUAAACAUCAAUAUGCACUUAGUCAACAUUAUAUCAAUUUCUAUAGUAAGUCUUGUGGAUAGCACAACAAGCUCACUAAGAUCUUGAUAUACUCUAUUGACCAAGUAUGAAAGAAGGCCUUUGUAAUAUCUACAUCACUAAAUAAUCUCAGUUCGAAACUCAAUAAGAUCAAAUUGGUCAGGUCAGUAGGUGGGAGGCUCCCUGUAGCUUUUCUUAGACACCAACAAAGUUGGCCAGGCCAGCAAACAAACAUAAUUAGAAAACUACCUUUAACACUUAUGUAGAUACCAAUUGAUCAAAUAAAUUCGAUAUUUGAUUUGUAAGUGAAUCCUGAUAUUAUAACUUAAUAUAUUCUUUUACAGAGGAUCUUUGAACUAGUCUCGGUAUAUCCUAAUUACUACAUAAAAUAUAACAUACAAAUUAUGCAACUCAACAUGCCUUUCCAAGCUAUAAUAUCAUUCAUAUUAACAUGCCAAAAAUAAUUACAAUAAUC
RNAcentral lists this long non-coding RNA (802 nucleotides) under Elaeis guineensis (African oil palm). Its description in RNAcentral is "long non-coding RNA (EGUI_LNC065228)". Lineage: Eukaryota; Viridiplantae; Streptophyta; Magnoliopsida; Arecales; Arecaceae. The record is from RNAcentral.